AACGAACGCUGGCGGCAUGCCUAACACAUGCAAGUCGAACGAGAUCUUCGGGUCUAGUGGCGCACGGGUGCGUAACGCGUGGGAAUCUGCCCUUUGGUUCGGAAUAACAGUUGGAAACGACUGCUAAUACCGGAUGAUGACGAAAGUCCAAAGAUUUAUCGCCAGAGGAUGAGCCCGCGUAGGAUUAGCUAGUUGGUGUGGUAAAGGCGCACCAAGGCGACGAUCCUUAGCUGGUCUGAGAGGAUGAUCAGCCACACUGGGACUGAGACACGGCCCAGACUCCUACGGGAGGCAGCAGUGGGGAAUAUUGGACAAUGGGCGAAAGCCUGAUCCAGCAAUGCCGCGUGAGUGAUGAAGGCCUUAGGGUUGUAAAGCUCUUUUACCCGGGAUGAUAAUGACAGUACCGGGAGAAUAAGCUCCGGCUAACUCCGUGCCAGCAGCCGCCGCGG
This 449-nucleotide ribosomal RNA is filed under the name uncultured bacterium. Its description in RNAcentral is "partial 16S ribosomal RNA". It matches the Rfam family "Bacterial small subunit ribosomal RNA", at positions 29 to 523 of the family's 1533-position model. The record is from RNAcentral.